RNAcentral lists this ribosomal RNA (239 nucleotides) under uncultured bacterium. RNAcentral's name for it is "partial 16S ribosomal RNA". It matches the Rfam family "Bacterial small subunit ribosomal RNA", at positions 118 to 351 of the family's 1533-position model. The record is from RNAcentral.
UGAGUAACCUAUCCUCGGCACCGGGAUAGCCCGGGGAAACCCGGAUUAAUACCGGAUGGCCUUUCGAGUCCUCGGACUCGUCAGAAAAGGUAGCUUCGGCCUCCGGCCGAGGAGGGACUCGCGGCGGAUUAGCUUGUUGGUGGGGUAACGGCUCACCAAGGCGACGAUCCGUAGCUGGUCUGAGAGGACGAUCAGCCACACUGGGACUGAGACACGGCCCAGACUCCUACGGGAGGCAG